This 161-nucleotide ribosomal RNA is filed under the name Bupleurum falcatum. Its description in RNAcentral is "5.8S ribosomal RNA". It matches the Rfam family "5.8S ribosomal RNA". From Rfam's summary of the family: 5.8S ribosomal RNA (5.8S rRNA) is a component of the large subunit of the eukaryotic ribosome. It is transcribed by RNA polymerase I as part of the 45S precursor that also contains 18S and 28S rRNA. Lineage: Eukaryota; Viridiplantae; Streptophyta; Magnoliopsida; Apiales; Apiaceae. The record is from RNAcentral.
AACGACUCUCGGCAACGGAUAUCCCGGCUCUCGCAUCGAUGAAGAACGUAGCGAAAUGCGAUACUUGGUGUGAAUUGCAGAAUCCCGUGAACCAUCGAGUCUUUGAACGCAAGUUGCCCCGAUGCCAUUAGGUUGAGGGCACGUCUGCCUGGGUGUCACGU